UACAGAGGUCCCAAGCGUUGUUCGGAUUCAUUGGGCGUAAAGGGUGUGUAGGUGGCGCCGUAAGUCGGGUGUGAAAUUUCGGAGCUUAACUCCGAAACUGCAUUCGAUACUGCGGUGCUUGAGGACUGGAGGGGAGACUGGAAUUCAUGGUGUAGCAGUGAAAUGCGUAGAGAUCAUGAGGAAGACCAGUGGCGAAGGCGGGUCUCUGGACAGUUCCUGACACUGAGACACGAAGGCCAGGGGAGCAAACGGG
This 253-nucleotide ribosomal RNA is filed under the name uncultured bacterium. Its description in RNAcentral is "partial 16S ribosomal RNA". It matches the Rfam family "Bacterial small subunit ribosomal RNA", at positions 524 to 776 of the family's 1533-position model. The record is from RNAcentral.